This is a non-coding RNA of Podarcis lilfordi (Lilford's wall lizard), 71 nucleotides long. The record is from the annotation of a GenBank genome assembly. NCBI's taxonomy places the organism in Eukaryota, Metazoa, Chordata, Lepidosauria, Squamata, Lacertidae.
GGCCAUAGCUUAGUGGUUAGAGCAUCUGCUUCUUGUGCAGAAGGUCCUAGGUUCAAUCCUUGGCAUCUCCA